UACGAAGGGGGCUAGCGUUGCUCGGAAUCACUGGGCGUAAAGCGCACGUAGGCGGCUUACUAAGUCAGGGGUGAAAUCCUGGAGCUCAACUCCAGAACUGCCUUUGAUACUGGUGAGCUUGAGUCCGGAAGAGGUGAGUGGAACUGCGAGUGUAGAGGUGAAAUUCGUAGAUAUUCGCAAGAACACCAGUGGCGAAGGCGACUCACUGGACAACUGUUGACGCUGAGGUGCGAAAGCGUGGGGAGCAAACAGG
Molecule: ribosomal RNA, 253 nt
Filed under: uncultured bacterium
Lineage: Bacteria
Description: partial 16S ribosomal RNA
Rfam family: Bacterial small subunit ribosomal RNA
Source: RNAcentral